This 1449-nucleotide long non-coding RNA is filed under the name Canis lupus familiaris (dog). RNAcentral's name for it is "lncRNA (ENSCAFG00030009276.1)". Lineage: Eukaryota; Metazoa; Chordata; Mammalia; Carnivora; Canidae. The record is from RNAcentral.
AUGUCACUCUGGAAGGGAGACAGCAGCAACCAGGCUGUGCAAGUGAGUGGUGGAAGACGAAGGAUCUCUGAAGCCUCAUCAGUCAUCGGGACCAUCAGGAAUAGUGGUUUAAGAGGACGCUCGGCCUGGGGCACUAUACCUGUCAUCGAGUUCCCUGCCUCGGAGAUAAAGAUUCCAGCUACAUGGGUAAACGCCUGGAUCAGCCACAAAUGUACCCCCAGUACACUUACUACUAUCCUCACUGUCUCUAAACCAAGGUAUGGCUCGACCCACAGUCUGGCAAGCAGUGUGUAUCCUGCACUUGGGAUGGGAAACAGGCAUGUGGAUUAUUAUUUACCUCCCCUUUCCCAUCACCUCUUCCUGCUUCUUUGAAAUUAGUAACAUAGCAAUGGAGUUAAUAAGGCAGAGGAGAAUAUGAGAAGAAAGCAAGCCCUGGGAUUGUGGUUUUUCUCUUCUAGCAGAGAUAAUAGUUUCGCUCGUGUUCCUUUGUUGUUAUUUGGCAACAUAAAGAUGUUCCUGAUAUCCGUAGUAAAGUGCUUUGCAGAUGGACAGGGUUGUUAGAAAGGAGAUUGUGACAGUGAUUAUCAGGAACAACAACGAUUUCAGAGGCUUUUCUGGUGAGCUGUUCUUUGUGGCUCUGAAAGGGUUUUUCUCACUGGAUAGGAUGCACCAGGGUGGGGGCAACUCAGACUUUCAAUCACAGAGUAUAGAAUGAAAGAAGGGUGUGGGAAGGUAUAGUACGACUAACUGACGUCCCGUAGAGUUUGUUUGGGUGUGCUUUUGUUUUUGUGUAUUUGCCUUACAUAUUUUAUUUUAUAUGGAGGGUGAUCAAGACUCUAGAGACUGAAGUUUGGAGCUUUACAAUAGAUGUUCUUUACUUUUCGAAGCUCUGUUUUUCUGUGCUGGCUGCCAUCAGGAGGCCUGUGGGUCUUGAAACGGGAUGAAAUAUAACUGAUGAUAAUUGGACACGAAUUGGUUAAAUACUUUAGUCUUGGGAUCCCUGGGUGGCGCAGUGGUUUGGCGCCUGCCUUUGGCCCAGGGCGUGAUCCUGGAGACCUGGGAUCGAAUCCCACGUGGGCUCCCGGUGCAUGGAGCCUGCUUCUCCCUCUGCCUAUGUCUCUGCCUCUCUCUGUGUGUGACUAUCAUAAAUAAAUAAAAAAAAUUAAAAAAAUUUUUUAAUACUUUAGUCUUUAUGUGUGUGCGUAAAUGACCAUUACGGGGCCAGUGGAAAGCCCACGUAACUAAGCAGUGGGCAGUGCCAACCAUGAACUUGAUCCUGCAGUUCAGACCUGAAAGGCUCUCAGGUGUGAAAUCACUGCUCCAAUUUGUCAGUUAAAUUGGACUUGAUGAGUUGGGGGGGAGGGUGUCGGUAGAGUUAUCGCUUUGAAUGUAUGGGUUAUGUUUCUUUACAGGUGAUAUUAAUUUUGUAUCGCAUUAGCCAGACUCCAC